AUCAUUUGCUUCAUUUCAUUUCACCAAUUCACCCGUGACUGUGAUUCCAUUCCAUGGCCGUGAGCUAGCCAGCUAGGUCUCCCGUCUCCGUCCAUACUCUUCAGUCUUCGACUCUCCACCAGAUCCCACUCUCGUCAAGCAUUGCCUCUCAAGCAUCGCCCGUAAGCAGUGGCACCAUCGGUCAAGCACCGAAUCUCUCUCGCCGAUCAAGCACCGGAUCUCCCUCACGUCAAGCAUUGGCACCCCAUCAUCUCUCCCGUCAAUCACCAGCACCAUCCAUCCUCCUGCUUCAAAUAACACUUAAAAAUGAGAGAGAGAGGGAGAGAGAGAGAGAGAGAGAGAGAGAGAGAAAGCCAAAAGAAGUGUUCUAGACCCAAAAUGAAGAAGAUGGAACUCUCUCGGCACCAAUCGAAUAAGGGCAAGGCAAACAUGAUGGCUUGCCGAUAUACUUAUGCUCGUAAGGAGGAAUAUAAAGCCAAAUCAGAUGACCUUACGGGCAGGUUUUACGACUGUAAGUGUGGUCGUAAAGACCAUUCAGAAAAAUUUAAGAGCAAAGCUUACGCCUGUAAGGGUGGUCACAAGGGCUAUACAGAGAAGUUUACAGUCCAACAUUUAUGGCCGUAAGAUGAACCGUAACAUAAGAUAGAACACCUUACGAAUGGGACUUACUGGUGUAAAUGAUCUCGUGAGGCAAAAGGAAGAAAAGAGGAGAAUCUCUAGGGCUUUGGAGGCAAUUUUAGGAGAAGAUUCAACCCCACCAUCUUGGAGAGGAAGAUCGUAGCCGGCAAGACUAGCUAGGCGACAUUCGCGGAAGGUUAUUGGACAUUCUACGUCAAUCAACCUCCGACACACUUGCGAAGGAGUUUUAAUAUUUUGUUUUAUUCCCUACAUGUCUUGUAAUUUAAAUGCUUACCCUCCAUUAAUGAAGGGCUAAUUUUGUAGAUGUUUGGGCAUAGCUAAACUUUAGGGUUUUAUCUUUUGACAUUG
This is a long non-coding RNA of Dioscorea cayenensis subsp. rotundata (Guinea yam), 987 nucleotides long. RefSeq lists it as uncharacterized. The transcript has 3 exons. NCBI's taxonomy places the organism in Eukaryota, Viridiplantae, Streptophyta, Magnoliopsida, Dioscoreales, Dioscoreaceae. The record is from RefSeq and is a predicted model, not a curated record.